GAUGAACGCUGGCGGCGUGCCUAAUACAUGCGAGUCGAGCGAACAGACGAGGAGCUUGCUCCUUCGACGUUAGCGGCGGACGGGUGAGUAACACGUAGGUAACCUACCUAUAAGACUGGGAUAACUUCGGGAAACCGGAGCUAAUACCGGAUAAUAUUUCGAACCGCAUGGUUCGAUAGUGAAAGAUGGCUUUGCUAUCACUUAUAGAUGGACCUGCGCCGUAUUAGCUAGUUGGUAAGGUAACGGCUUACCAAGGCAACGAUACGUAGCCGACCUGAGAGGGUGAUCGGCCACACUGGAACUGAGACACGGUCCAGACUCCUACGGGAGGCAGCAGUAGGGAAUCUUCCGCAAUGGGCGAAAGCCUGACGGAGCAACGCCGCGUGAGUGAUGAAGGUCUUCGGAUCGUAAAACUCUGUUAUUAGGGAAGAACAAACGUGUAAGUAACUGUUCACGUCUUGACGGUACCUAAUCAGAAAGCCACGGCUAACUACGUG
This 497-nucleotide ribosomal RNA is filed under the name uncultured bacterium. RNAcentral describes it as "partial 16S ribosomal RNA". It matches the Rfam family "Bacterial small subunit ribosomal RNA", at positions 28 to 507 of the family's 1533-position model. The record is from RNAcentral.